This 496-nucleotide ribosomal RNA is filed under the name uncultured bacterium. RNAcentral's name for it is "partial 16S ribosomal RNA". It matches the Rfam family "Bacterial small subunit ribosomal RNA", at positions 29 to 507 of the family's 1533-position model. The record is from RNAcentral.
AUGAACGCUGGCGGCGUGCCUAAUACAUGCCAGUCGAGCGAACAGACGAGGAGCUUGCUCCUCUGACGUUAGCGGCGGACGGGUGAGUAACACGUGGAUAACCUACCUAUAAGACUGGGAUAACUUCGGGAAACCGGAGCUAAUACCGGAUAAUAUAUUGAACCGCAUGGUUCAAUAGUGAAAGACGGUUUUGCUGUCACUUAUAGAUGUAUCCGCGCCGCAUUAGCUAGUUGGUAAGGUAACGGCUUACCAAGGCAACGAUGCGUAACCGACCUGAGAGGGUGAUCGGCCACACUGGAACUGAGACACGGUCCAGACUCCUACGGGAGGCAGCAGUAGGGAAUCUUCCGCGAUGGGCGAAAGCCUGACGGAGCAACGCCGCGUGAGUGAUGAAGGUCUUCGGAUCGUAAAACUCUGUUAUUAGGGAAGAACAAAUGUGUAAGUAACUAUGCACGUCUUGACGGUACCUAAUCAGAAAGCCACGGCUAACUACGUG